This 115-nucleotide ribosomal RNA is filed under the name Danio rerio (zebrafish). Lineage: Eukaryota; Metazoa; Chordata; Actinopteri; Cypriniformes; Danionidae. The record is from RNAcentral.
GCUGGCUGCUAGAUCUCUGCAACUCCCUCGUGGUCACCCUCUGAAACUAAGCAGGGCUGCACCCGGUCAGUACCUGGAUUGGAGACCACAUGGGAAAGCUAGGUUGCUGCCGGAA